This 253-nucleotide ribosomal RNA is filed under the name uncultured bacterium. RNAcentral describes it as "partial 16S ribosomal RNA". It matches the Rfam family "Bacterial small subunit ribosomal RNA", at positions 524 to 776 of the family's 1533-position model. The record is from RNAcentral.
UACGUAGGUGGCAAGCGUUGUCCGGAUUUACUGGGUGUAAAGGGCGUGCAGCCGGAGAGACAAGUCAGAUGUGAAAUCCACGGGCUCAACCCGUGAACUGCAUUUGAAACUGUUUCCCUUGAGUGUCGGAGAGAUAAUCGGAAUUCCUUGUGUAGCGGUGAAAUGCGUAGAUAUAAGGAAGAACACCAGUGGCGAAGGCGGAUUACUGGACGAUAACUGACGGUGAGGCGCGAAAGCGUGGGGAGCAAACAGG